RNAcentral lists this ribosomal RNA (452 nucleotides) under uncultured Chloroflexota bacterium. RNAcentral describes it as "bacterial SSU rRNA". It matches the Rfam family "Bacterial small subunit ribosomal RNA", at positions 920 to 1382 of the family's 1533-position model. The record is from RNAcentral. Lineage: Bacteria; Bacillati; Chloroflexota.
CCCGCACAAGCAGCGGAGCGUGUGGUUUAAUUCGAUGCAACACGAAAAACCUCACCAAGAUUUGACAUGUCGGAAGUAGUGAACCGAAAGGUUAAUUAACUGUUAAGCCAGUAGCCGUCACAGGUGCUGCAUGGCUGUCGUCAGCUCGUGCCGUGAGGUGUAUGGUUAAGUCCUGCAACGAGCGCAACCCUCGUGGUUAGUUGUUUUCUCUAACCAGACUGCCUCGCAAAAACGGGGAGGAAGGUGGGGAUGACGUCAAGUCAGCAUGGCCUUUAUAUCUUGGGCUACACACACGCUACAAUGGGUGGCACAAUAGGUUGCAACAGUGCGAACUGAAGCUAAUCCCCAAAGCCAUCCUCAGUACAGAUUGCAGGCUGAAACCCGCCUGCAUGAAGUCGGAGUUGCUAGUAACCGCAAAUCAGCAUGUUGCGGUGAAUACGUUCUCGGGCCUU